AAAAUAUUUAGAAUUACAGGGCUUAAAAAAAGACAGUCAAUUUGUAAAUCAAGAAUAAGCGCUCACUCUUUCAAAAUUGAGACAGACAGAUAUUCAAAAAACACAUAUAAAAAGAUCUAAGCGUAUUUGUUCUAAUUGCUCACUUGGUAAAGUUGAAGAUGGGCUUCAUUUUUUAUUAGAAUGCCCUCUUUAUGAUAUUCAAAGGGACGA
RNAcentral lists this long non-coding RNA (210 nucleotides) under Mytilus galloprovincialis (Mediterranean mussel). Lineage: Eukaryota; Metazoa; Mollusca; Bivalvia; Mytilida; Mytilidae. The record is from RNAcentral.